Molecule: non-coding RNA, 314 nt
Organism: Pelobates cultripes (western spadefoot toad)
Lineage: Eukaryota; Metazoa; Chordata; Amphibia; Anura; Pelobatidae
Source: the annotation of a GenBank genome assembly
CUUGAAAUAGGCAUUGAAAGCCAUGUAUCAGUGUUUGCAGAUGACACAAACCUUUAUAAAGUAAUAAAAUGUGAGGAGGAUAUUGCUUUGCUGCAGAAGGAUUUGGAUAGAUUGGGGGACUGGGCACUAAAAUGGCAGAUUAAAUUUAACGUAGAGAAAUGCAAAGUUAUGCACUUCGGGGUUAAGAAUGCACAAGCAACUUACACCCUAAAUGGUAGGGAAUUAGGGGUAACCACACACAAGACGGAUUUGGAAAUUGUUAUAGACAACAAAUUAGGCAGCAAUAUGCAAUGUCAAUCUGCAGUUGCUAAGGC